AUUGAACGCUGGCGGCAGGCCUAACACAUGCAAGUCGAACGAGUGGCGGACGGGUGAGUAAUGUCUGGGAAACUGCCUGACGGAGGGGGCUAACUACUGGAACCGGUAGCUAAUACCGCAUACCAUCAGAUGUGCCCAGAUGGGUUUAGUUAGUUGGUGGGGUAACGGCUCACCCAGGCGACGCUCCCUAGCUGGUCUGAGAGGAUGACCAGCCACACUGGAACUGAGACACGGUCCAGACUCCGACGGGAGGCAGCAGUGGGGAAUAUUGCACAAUGGGAGCAAGCCUGAUGCAGCCAUGCCGCGUGGAUGAAGAAGGCCUUCGGGUUGUAAAGUACUUUCAGCGGGGAGGCGUUACCCGCAGAAGAAGCACCGGCUAACUCCGUGCCAGCAGCCGCGGUAAUUC
RNAcentral lists this ribosomal RNA (406 nucleotides) under uncultured bacterium. RNAcentral's name for it is "partial 16S ribosomal RNA". It matches the Rfam family "Bacterial small subunit ribosomal RNA", at positions 30 to 526 of the family's 1533-position model. The record is from RNAcentral.